This 1428-nucleotide ribosomal RNA is filed under the name Lactiplantibacillus plantarum. RNAcentral's name for it is "bacterial SSU rRNA". It matches the Rfam family "Bacterial small subunit ribosomal RNA". Lineage: Bacteria; Bacillati; Bacillota; Bacilli; Lactobacillales; Lactobacillaceae. The record is from RNAcentral.
AGUCGAACGAACUCUGGUAUUGAUUGGUGCUUGCAUCAUGAUUUACAUUUGAGUGAGUGGCGAACUGGUGAGUAACACGUGGGAAACCUGCCCAGAAGCGGGGGAUAACACCUGGAAACAGAUGCUAAUACCGCAUAACAACUUGGACCGCAUGGUCCGAGUUUGAAAGAUGGCUUCGGCUAUCACUUCUGGAUGGUCCCGCGGCGUAUUAGCUAGAUGGUGAGGUAACGGCUCACCAUGGCAAUGAUACGUAGCCGACCUGAGAGGGUAAUCGGCCACAUUGGGACUGAGACACGGCCCAAACUCCUACGGGAGGCAGCAGUAGGGAAUCUUCCACAAUGGACGAAAGUCUGAUGGAGCAACGCCGCGUGAGUGAAGAAGGGUUUCGGCUCGUAAAACUCUGUUGUUAAAGAAGAACAUAUCUGAGAGUAACUGUUCAGGUAUUGACGGUAUUUAACCAGAAAGCCACGGCUAACUACGUGCCAGCAGCCGCGGUAAUACGUAGGUGGCAAGCGUUGUCCGGAUUUAUUGGGCGUAAAGCGAGCGCAGGCGGUUUUUUAAGUCUGAUGUGAAAGCCUUCGGCUCAACCGAAGAAGUGCAUCGGAAACUGGGAAACUUGAGUGCAGAAGAGGACAGUGGAACUCCAUGUGUAGCGGUGAAAUGCGUAGAUAUAUGGAAGAACACCAGUGGCGAAGGCGGCUGUCUGGUCUGUAACUGACGCUGAGGCUCGAAAGUAUGGGUAGCAAACAGGAUUAGAUACCCUGGUAGUCCAUACCGUAAACGAUGAAUGCUAAGUGUUGGAGGGUUUCCGCCCUUCAGUGCUGCAGCUAACGCAUUAAGCAUUCCGCCUGGGGAGUACGGCCGCAAGGCUGAAACUCAAAGGAAUUGACGGGGGCCCGCACAAGCGGUGGAGCAUGUGGUUUAAUUCGAAGCUACGCGAAGAACCUUACCAGGUCUUGACAUACUAUGCAAAUCUAAGAGAUUAGACGUUCCCUUCGGGGACAUGGAUACAGGUGGUGCAUGGUUGUCGUCAGCUCGUGUCGUGAGAUGUUGGGUUAAGUCCCGCAACGAGCGCAACCCUUAUUAUCAGUUGCCAGCAUUAAGUUGGGCACUCUGGUGAGACUGCCGGUGACAAACCGGAGGAAGGUGGGGAUGACGUCAAAUCAUCAUGCCCCUUAUGACCUGGGCUACACACGUGCUACAAUGGAUGGUACAACGAGUUGCGAACUCGCGAGAGUAAGCUAAUCUCUUAAAGCCAUUCUCAGUUCGGAUUGUAGGCUGCAACUCGCCUACAUGAAGUCGGAAUCGCUAGUAAUCGCGGAUCAGCAUGCCGCGGUGAAUACGUUCCCGGGCCUUGUACACACCGCCCGUCACACCAUGAGAGUUUGUAACACCCAAAGUCGGUGGGGUAACCUUUUAGGAACCAGC